This 432-nucleotide ribosomal RNA is filed under the name uncultured bacterium. RNAcentral describes it as "partial 16S ribosomal RNA". It matches the Rfam family "Bacterial small subunit ribosomal RNA", at positions 29 to 506 of the family's 1533-position model. The record is from RNAcentral.
AACGAACGCUGGCGGCAUGCCUAACACAUGCAAGUCGAACGAGACCUUCGGGCCUAGUGGCGCUCGGGUGCGUAACGCGGGGGAACCUGCCCUUAGGUUCGGAAUAACUCCCCGAAAGGGGUGCUAAUACCGGAUAAUGUCUUCGGACCAAAGAUUUACCGCCUUUGGAUGGGCCUGCGUUGGAUUAGGUAGUUGGUAGGGUAAAAGCCUACCAAGGCGACGAUCCAUAGCUGGUGUGAGAGGAUGAUCAGCCAGACUGGGACAGGGACACGGCCCAGACUCCUGCGAGAGGUAGCAAUGAGGAAUAAUGGACAGGGGGCGAAAGCCUGAACCAGCAAUGCCGGGCGAGUGAUGAAGGGCUUAGGGAUGUAAAGCUCUUUUACCCAGGAUGAUAAUAACAGUACCGGUAGAAUAAGCUCCGGCUAACUCCGU